This 357-nucleotide RNase P RNA is filed under the name uncultured Akkermansia sp. RNAcentral describes it as "Bacterial RNase P class A". It matches the Rfam family "Bacterial RNase P class A". Rfam says of the family: Ribonuclease P (RNase P) is a ubiquitous endoribonuclease, found in archaea, bacteria and eukarya as well as chloroplasts and mitochondria. Its best characterised activity is the generation of mature 5'-ends of tRNAs by cleaving the 5'-leader elements of precursor-tRNAs. Cellular RNase Ps are ribonucleoproteins. Lineage: Bacteria; Pseudomonadati; Verrucomicrobiota; Verrucomicrobiia; Verrucomicrobiales; Akkermansiaceae. The record is from RNAcentral.
UCGGGUGGCCGCUGCACAGCCUGUCUGCGUAGAGGAAAGUCCGGACAUCACAAGGCAGCGCGUCCUUCGAAAGGGGGAGACUUCCGGAGCCAAUGCCGGGAGGACGGAAAGUGCCACAGAAAACAAACCGCCUGCAAGGGUAAGGGUGAAAAGGUGGGGUAAGAGCCCACCGCUCCGGAGGUAACGACGGAGGCAUGGUAAACCCCGCGCGAUGCAAGACAAACAGGGGGAGGGUCGCCUGCCCGACUAAAGUCCCCCGGGUAAUAGUUGCACCCGGCUAUAAACGCCGGGUACGGGUUCGCCUGUAAGAAAAAUGGCCACACAGCCCGAAAGGGUGGACAGAAUCUGGCUUACAGA